AUACCCUUAAUUUAAUAAACAAUAUGCCAAAAUGAUAUGACAAAAAUUAAAGGUAUUUUUAUCAUUUUAUUCUUAUUUAAUGGAGAUAUUUCACAUAAUUAUCAAAAUGAUUAAUAGUGAACAACCUUAAAGAUUUGAAAUCUCAUAAAUCAAAAUGAUGAAUUAUACAAAUCUCAAUAGGCAUUUGACUAAAACAAAAACCUUGGGCAUAUGGUAAGUGUAAGUGUGGAUUUACAGCCCUUGUGACUAAACGCUGAAAAAGCUGAAGUAGGACGCAUGGUUGGCAACUUUGGAAAAAUCUGGCGUCGGUAGGAUAAAGAGCCCCUGUAUGUUUGCCAAUUGCCAUGCUUUUUCCUGGUCUGCCAAAUUAUCAACUUUGCUUUCUUAUCCUUCCAGUUGUGUGGCUCACGACAAAACGUGCAUUUUUCUCAUCGAUAUAAAUUAUGGUGUACGUUUAUCAUCUAUUUUAAAUUUUGUCAUGUAUCUUUUAUCUAAUUUUAGUUAAUUACUAUAUUAAAUAUAUUUUUUUUAAUUUUGAAAAGUAUUAAGAAAAAAAAAAUGAUCCCCUUCUUUCUUCUCUAUUUUGUUCCCUCUUCCUUAUAUGUUUUAGCAAUUGAUAUGAAAGUUGAUGAUUAAAUUAUUAUUUUAACGUUAACAAACGUGUUCAUUUUUAUUGGUGACACACCAUUUAAUUUAUAAAUUUUAUUUACAAAUUUAAUUAUCUUAACCUUACAUUUUUUAUAUUUUUUUAUAACAAAAAAUUAUGACCCCACGACGGUGAAGAGAGGAUAAAGAGGAAAGUAACACUUUCUUUCUGGCCACAAAGGACUUAUCAUGGCAAAUUGAAUUAUUGAAGAGCUCUAAAGUCUUUGCCAUCUGGAAUCUGGAUUUGUUGAUUUUCAUAAGCGAUCGGAUCGAUGGAAACGCGUCCCUUCAUCUUCUUGAUCAUCUGAAAACUUCAAUUAAUGCAUUUUAAGCUCGAGAGCUCAAGCUUCCAGGGAACUACUUGAAUCUUAAUUGCACUAAAAGAUUUCAACUUUAAGUCUUCAACUGAUCCUCGGAAGCAAGUUUCCUCGUGAUCCGACGACUUCCAUGACGAGGACUUUUUUUUACACAGGAAAAAGUAGAAGACAAAAUUAGCCCCGCGACAAUGAAGAGAUAGGGAAAACAAAGAGGAGGAUUUAUCAUAGCAAAUUGAACUAUUGAAAGUUCUGAAGUAUUUUCGUUUGGAAUCUGGAUUCUUUGACUCCAAUACGAGAUCAGAUCAGAUCAGAUGGAAUCAAGUCUCUUCGUCUUCAUGAUCAUCUGAAAACUUCAAUUUAAUGCAUUUUAAGCUUGAGAGCUCAAGCUUCCAGGGAACUACUCAGUCUCAACUGCGCUAAAGUUUUCAACUUCAACUGAAACUUGAUCCCUGGAAACUAGUGUUCUCUUGAUCUGCGACCUGACGACUUUCACAUGUGACUACUUGUGAGUCUUGAUUGGUACUUGCUCAACGGAUCAAACUUCCAAUUCAAGAAACUAUGGCGGCAGAGGCUUUUCUUGCGUCAUUCCUCCAAAUGCUGGUUGACAAGUUGGCGAGUCGCGACGUCUUGAAGUACUUUGGACUCGUAAAAAGCGUCGAUAAGAAACUGACGGAAUGGAUUGCCACCUGGUCUGCAAUUGGAGCUGUGCUGAUUGACGCGGAGAAAAGGCAACUGGCGGAUGAGAGCAACACACUGAAGCUCUGGCUCGAUGAACUCAGGGACUUGGCUUUUGAUGCGGAAGACGUGUUGGAUAAAUAUCAUACUGAAAUGUUGAAACGUCGGAUACAACAUGCUCAUUCCAGCGCAAUAAGCAAAGCAUGGAAACCAUUUCCUAAUGGUGUUUUCAACUGGAAGAUGAACUCAGACAUAGAGAAGAUUACUGAGCGAUUACAAAAGAUAUCCGUACGAAAAGACCAGCUCGGUUUGAAAAUUGAUACUGUGACGUGGACUCCAGGGGCACGCCAAUACAUACCGCCUAGUUCUAGUCUAUCAGAUAGACCUGUGAUUGGAAGGGAGGAGGACAAAAGGAAGAUUGUUGAGCUGCUGUCAAAACAAGAGCAUCGUGCUGUCAAUUUCGAUGUAGUUGCAAUUGUUGGUAUGGCUGGAGUCGGAAAGACAACACUCGCCGGACAAGUAUUCAAAGAUAUGGAAGCAACCCAAAUGUUUCAACCAGCCGUUUGGGUGUGCGUAUCUGACGACUUCAACCUUGAAAGAGUGACAAAGCAAAUUCUUCAAUCAAUCACAUCUCGGCAAUACACCACAGAAGAUUACGAGAAGGUUCAAAAUGAUCUGCAUAAGGAGUUAGCGGGGAAGAAGUUUUUAAUUGUUUUAGACGAUGUUUGGAAAACGUGUAGCUACGGUGAAUGGAUGAAGCUGCAGUCCCCUUUUCGUGAUGGAGCACAAGGAAGCAAGAUAGUUGUGACAACACGUGAUACAGAGGUUUCAAAAAUGAUGGGAGCUGCCACGCUGGUUCACAAUUUGGUGCCUAUGCAAAAUGAUGUUUGUUUGCAAGUAUUUGAGCAGCAUGCGCUCUUGAAUGCUAACAGACCACCAAACUACGAGUCACUAAAGGAGAAAAUUGUUGCAAAGUGUAGGGGAUUGCCUUUGGCCGCGAGGACCCUCGGUGGUGUUCUACUUGAUCAAAAAAUAGACAAAUGGGAAGAAAUAUUGAACGACAAGUUGUGGAGUCUCUCAGAUAAGCAUGACAUACUUCCCGUGUUGAGACUAAGUUACUUUUAUCUUCCUUCACAUUUGAAAAGAUGCUUUGCCUAUUGCUCAAUACUUCCAAAUGACUAUGAAUUCGGGGAGAUGCAAAUGAUCCUUCUGUGGAUGGCCGAGGGUUUGAUUCAUCAUCGACCAGAAGAUAAUAAGCAAAUUGAAGAUUUAGGUGCUGAUUAUUUUCGGGAGCUCGUUUGUAGGUCAUUGUUUCAAAAGUCAACCGAAGAUACUUCAAAAUAUGUGAUGCAUGACCUCAUUGGUGAUUUAGCAAGAUGGGCCGCUGGAGAUAUUUGUUUUAGAUUGGAGGAUAAGCAAAAUAAUGAUGGUGUACAACUUACAUGUUUUCCGAAGGCACGCCAUUCGUCUUACCUUAUGGGUGAUUGUGAUGGGGUUAAAAGAUUUGAGGUAUUUUCUGAAGUGAAAUGUUUGCGAACCUUCUUGCCACUAAGAAAGGGUUCUCCCUACAAUUAUUUAAGUCGUCAGGUUACCUUUGAUUUAUUGCCAAAAUUGCAGUACUUGCGGGUGCUCUCUUUUAAUGGCUAUAGAAUAACUGAGCUGCCAAACUCAAUUGGUGAUUUGAGAUAUCUACGGUAUCUUGACGUUUCCUACACAUUGAUAACCUGUUUGCCUAAAUCAUUAAGUACUCUUUACAACCUGCAGACAUUGAUAUUGGAAGGUUGUUCUGAAUUAAAGUCAUUGCCUGCAGACAUGAGUAAUCUAAUUAAUUUGCGCCAUCUCAACAACUCAGAUGUAUCUCGGUGGGAAGGAAUGCCUCCAAAACUAGGUAGAUUGGAGAAUCUCCAAUUAUUGCCUAAUUUUGUGGUGAGCGGUGAAAGUGAUCAAUCAGGGAUAAGAGAAAUAGGGCCCCUAUCGCAGCUCCGAGGGACAUUGUGCCUCUCAAGAUUGGAGAAUGUGACUGAUGUCGAGGAUGCCAGGAGGGCCAACUUGAAAUGCAAGGAGAGGCUUGAUUCGUUGGUCCUAGAAUGGUCUCAUUCAAGCGACACAGGAGAAACUGAAUCCGCUGUGCUUGACAUGUUCCAGCCUCAUACAAAGAUCAAGGAGCUCACCAUCAAGAGUUAUGCCGGCAAGGAAUUUUCAUCAUGGGUUGGAGGUUCUUUCUUCUCUAAUAUGGUGCUUGUGCGCUUAGAGGAAUGUAACAAUUGUUUAUCGUUGCCACCUCUCGGACAAUUGCCUCAACUCAAGGAGCUUUAUAUUAGAGGAAUGAAUGCAGUGGAAAGUGUUGGUGCUGAGUUUUAUGGCGAGUGUGUCUUGGCUUUUCCGCUGUUAGAGAUUCUCGAGUUUGUGGAUAUGCAGCAUUGGAAGGUGUGGCUUCCUUUCCAACUGGAUCACAGAAGUGGUGUUUUCCCUUGCCUGAAAAGGCUUUCAAUCGAAAAAUGUUCCCAGUUGGAAGGCAAGCUGCCAGAGAACCUUGAUUUGUUAGCCGAACUUGAAAUUGUUAAAUGUGAGGAAUUGGCGGUUUCGAUUGCCAACUACAAACAACUUCGUCAAUUAAAUAUUAAGGGUUGUAAAGUAUUGGUGCAUACAGAUGCUAAGGUUGAGUUUGAGUUAUUAGAGUCCUUGUGCCUUUCAAACAUUUCGGAGGUGAUGUCUCUGCAAACAGGGGAAUUGUUGAGGAAGGGAUUAAGCAAGGUUAGAGAUUUGAAGAUUAAUGGAUGUGAGAAGCUGACGUCUUCAUGGAAGAAUGAGGGUAGAUUAUUGCAGCGGUUGACUUGUCUUGGCCGUUUGAAAAUUGAAGACAACUCUCGUCUAGUUGAAGAAUUGGGAGAAGAAGCAGAGGAGUUGCUGCAAUUGGAAAUAUUGGAGUGCAAGCUUGAAUGUCUGAAGUUAAAAAAGUGCGAAAAUCUUUUGAAGCUACCAAAAGGGUUAAAUCAGCUGUCGUCUCUUCAAGAGCUUCGCAUAUACGAAUGUUCAUCUCUAGUUUCUUUUCCAGAUGUUGGUCUGCCACCUUCUCUUAAAGACAUCGAGAUUACAGGAUGCCAUUCGUUGAUAUAUUUUGCAAAAUUCCAGAUUCCCCAAAAUCUCAGAAGAAUAGAGAUAAGAGAUUGCAAAAGUUUGAAAUCACUAGUAGAUGAGGAGGAAUGUGAACGACUGGGUUUAAUAGCACCGAACGGGAUCUUCAGCGACAACACCAAUCACUGCCUUGAAUGUAUUCACAUCUGGGAUUGCCAAAAUCUGAAAUCCUUACCGGAUGGCUUAUGCCACCUCAGCAAUCUUCAAGAGCUACAUAUUGCAAUAUGUGGAAGUCUUGUUUCCAUCCCGAGACUGAGUGGGGGGAGAAGACCCUCCAACCUGAGAAAGAUCUCGAUCAUGCACAAUCUCAAGUUGGAGGCGUUGCCCGAAGACAUGCACAAUCUCAACUCUCUUGAAUGUAUUGAGAUCUGGGAUUGCCAAAAUCUGAAAUCCUUACCGGAUGGUUUAUGCUACCUCAGCAAUCUUCAAACUCUAAUUAUUAUCAAUUGUGGAAGUCUUGUUUCCAUCUCGAGACUGAGUGGGGGGAGAAGACCCUCCAACCUGAGAAAGAUGGGGAUCUACAUAUGCGAGAAAUUGGAGGCGUUGCCCGAAGACAUGCACAAUCUCAACUCUCUUGAGGAAUUGAGCAUCGACUACCGUGAAGGUUUGACUUUUCCUCCCAACCUCACAUCACUUGAAAUUAAUAUGGUCAAGAGCUGUAAGUCAUUGUGGGAGUUGGAGUGGGGGUUGCACAGACUCACCUCUCUUACAAUUUGUGGUUACGAAGACCCGGAUACGGUGUCGUUUCCACCCGACAUGGUACGGAUGGAGACGCUCUUCCCCAAAUCUCUCACUAGCCUCUCAAUAGAAGGCUUCCCGAAUCUGAAGAAACUGAGCAGCAAGGGCUUUCAAUUCCUCACCUCCCUUCAACAUUUGGGACUUUGGAAUUGUCCAAAGCUAGCAUCCAUUCCAGAGGAGGGUCUGCCUCCUUCACUAGAGAGACUUUUCAUCUUUAGGUGUCCAGUGCUAAAAGAGAGAUGCCAACCAGGAAAAGGACGCUACUGGCACAAAAUAUCCCACAUCCCUUCCAUACAGAUAGAUGGCAGGGAGAUAUGAAGCUGAUGGUCCGGGUUUUGGGGGUUGAGGAGUGGCUGCUUUGGGAGGCCUUCAAUUGGCGACAACUUGGAUAUUUCUCGGCCAACGUUUAUUCUCAUGGCGACAACUUGGAUAUUUCUCGGCCAACGUUUAUUCUCAUGGAUUCCUAUAUUUGCUUUUUUUCUUUUUCUUUUUUCUUUUUUUUUUUUUUUUUUGGGUAAACAAUUGCUAUGUUUGCUUGGUCCCUUUUGACUGAUUUGUAUUAUAACUUUAUAAAUGUGCUACCUUUUCUCCUAAGUAUGGAGUUUUUCCCAUUCAGUUUUUUCCCAGCAAGAUUUUAACCAGGCCACUUAAACCUGAUCUUUUAUUUUAUUUUAGCAAAUUUUGACUUAUGAGCUAGUAUUGCAUUUUAUUUAAUGCAUCGAGAAUAAGCAAUCAAUAAAGAAAUGGAAAUGCAAGGGGCUCGUUGUUGAAGUUGUGUUGUCUCUAGUCUUUAAAUGAUGAUUAGAUUCUCAAAAAGUUGCGUUAGUUUCGGUAUACUGACUUGACCACUUUUUGACGUGGGAAUUAGUUUCCCGAUGUGGAAUGAUGACCGCUAAAUGACUUCCUUUACUACGUCUUGUCUUCCUGAAAGUAGAAAAUAUGUGCCAACGAAUUUUGGUAAAUCAAAUCGUUAUACCAAGCUUUCGUCACUUA
Molecule: RNA transcript, 6503 nt
Organism: Pyrus x bretschneideri (Chinese white pear)
Lineage: Eukaryota; Viridiplantae; Streptophyta; Magnoliopsida; Rosales; Rosaceae
Gene name: putative disease resistance protein At3g14460
Exons: 7
Source: RefSeq, a predicted model, not a curated record